GACGAACGCUGGCGGCGUGCUUAACACAUGCAAGUCGAACGGAAAGGCCCCUUUCGGGGUCCUCGAGUGGCGAACGGGUGAGUAACACGUGAGUAACCUUCCCUUGACUUCGGGAUAACUUCAGGAAACUGGGGCUAAUACCGGAUAGGAAUCCUUGCUGCAUGGUGGGGGUUGGAAAGCUUCGGCGGUUUUUGAUGGACUCGCGGCUUAUCAGCUUGUUGGUGGGGUAGUGGCUUACCAAGGCGUUGUCGGGUAGCCGGCCUGCGUGGGCGACCGGCCACAUUGGGACCGAGGGACGGCCCAGACUCCUAAGGGAGGGAGCAGGGGGGAAGACUGAACAAGGGGCGGAAGGCGGAUGAUGAAACGCCGCGGGCGGGAUGACGGCCUUCGGGUGGUAAACCGUUUUCAGCAGGGGCGAAGCUUGUGGUGACGGUACCUGAAGAAGAAGCAACGGCUAACUACGUG
RNAcentral lists this ribosomal RNA (465 nucleotides) under uncultured bacterium. RNAcentral's name for it is "partial 16S ribosomal RNA". It matches the Rfam family "Bacterial small subunit ribosomal RNA", at positions 28 to 507 of the family's 1533-position model. The record is from RNAcentral.